This 461-nucleotide ribosomal RNA is filed under the name uncultured bacterium. RNAcentral's name for it is "bacterial SSU rRNA". It matches the Rfam family "Bacterial small subunit ribosomal RNA", at positions 47 to 507 of the family's 1533-position model. The record is from RNAcentral.
CUUUACACAUGCAGUCGAACGGCAGCACGGGGCAACCUGGUGGCGAGUGGCGAACGGGUGAGUAAUACAUCGGAACGUGCCCAAUCGUGGGGAUAACGUAGCGAAAGUUACGCUAAUACCGCAUACGAUCUACGGAUGAAAGCGGGGGAUCGCAAGACCUCGCGCGAAUGGAGCGGCCGAUGUCAGAUUAGGUAGUUGGUGGGGUAAAGGCUCACCAAGCCAACGAUCUGUAGCUGGUCUGAGAGGACGACCAGCCACACUGGGACUGAGACACGGCCCAGACUCCUACGGGAGGCAGCAGUGGGGAAUUUUGGACAAUGGGCGCAAGCCUGAUCCAGCCAUUCCGCGUGCAGGAUGAAGGCCUUCGGGUUGUAAACUGCUUUUGUACGGAACGAAACGGUUCUCUCUAAUACAGGGGGCUAAUGACGGUACCGUAAGAAUAAGCACCGGCUAACUACGUG